RNAcentral lists this ribosomal RNA (366 nucleotides) under Salmonella enterica subsp. enterica serovar Infantis. Its description in RNAcentral is "partial 23S ribosomal RNA". It matches the Rfam family "Bacterial large subunit ribosomal RNA", at positions 155 to 559 of the family's 2925-position model. The record is from RNAcentral. Lineage: Bacteria; Pseudomonadati; Pseudomonadota; Gammaproteobacteria; Enterobacterales; Enterobacteriaceae. RNAcentral also lists the same sequence under 8 other names.
UAACUGAAUCCAUAGGUUAAUGAGGCGAACCGGGGGAACUGAAACAUCUAAGUACCCCGAGGAAAAGAAAUCAACCGAGAUUCCCCCAGUAGCGGCGAGCGAACGGGGAGGAGCCCAGAGCCUGAAUCAGCAUGUGUGUUAGUGGAAGCGUCUGGAAAGGCGCGCGAUACAGGGUGACAGCCCCGUACACAAAAGCGCAUGUGCUGUGAGCUCGAUGAGUAGGGCGGGACACGUGGUAUCCUGUCUGAAUAUGGGGGGACCAUCCUCCAAGGCUAAAUACUCCUGACUGACCGAUAGUGAACCAGUACCGUGAGGGAAAGGCGAAAAGAACCCCGGCGAGGGGAGUGAAAAAGAACCUGAAACCGU